GAAGGUAGAGCUCAGGGGUAGAGUGUGUGCUUAGCAUACAUGAGGUCCUGGGUUCAAUCCCCAGUGCCUCCA
RNAcentral lists this transfer RNA (72 nucleotides) under Camelus bactrianus (Bactrian camel). It matches the Rfam family "tRNA". Rfam says of the family: Transfer RNA (tRNA) molecules are approximately 80 nucleotides in length. Their secondary structure includes four short double-helical elements and three loops (D, anti-codon, and T loops). Lineage: Eukaryota; Metazoa; Chordata; Mammalia; Artiodactyla; Camelidae. The record is from Rfam by way of RNAcentral. RNAcentral also lists the same sequence under 1 other name.